RNAcentral lists this ribosomal RNA (301 nucleotides) under uncultured bacterium. RNAcentral describes it as "partial 16S ribosomal RNA". It matches the Rfam family "Bacterial small subunit ribosomal RNA", at positions 509 to 807 of the family's 1533-position model. The record is from RNAcentral.
CAGUCGCCACGGUAAUACGUAGGGUGCAAGCGUUAAUCGGAAUUACUGGGCGUAAAGCGUACGCAGGCGGUUAUAUAAGUCAGAUGUGAAAUCCCCGGGCUCAACCUGGGAACUGCAUUUGAGACUGUAUGGCUAGAGUGUGUCAGAGGGGGGUAGAAUUCCACGUGUAGCAGUGAAAUGCGUAGAUAUGUGGAGGAAUACCGAUAGCGAAGGCAGCCCCCUGGGAUAACACUGACGCUCAUGCACGAAAGCGUGGGGAGCAAACAGGAUUAGAGACCCCUGUAGUCCCUGUCUCUUAUAC